RNAcentral lists this transfer RNA (28 nucleotides) under Cavariella aegopodii. Its description in RNAcentral is "partial tRNA-Leu". The record is from RNAcentral. Lineage: Eukaryota; Metazoa; Arthropoda; Insecta; Hemiptera; Aphididae. RNAcentral also lists the same sequence under 4 other names.
UUUAUAAAGAACAAUCUUUUUUUAGAAA